RNAcentral lists this unclassified non-coding RNA (166 nucleotides) under uncultured fungus. RNAcentral describes it as "sequence contains ITS1". The record is from RNAcentral. Lineage: Eukaryota; Fungi.
UUGACUCAUUUUCUUCGUCACUCAGAGGGCAGACGCGGCGCAAGCGGGAGCCUUGGGGUCCUCCGGCGGGCGCGGGCGGCCCGCCGAGGCAACGUCGGUACGGUUCACAGGGGGUUUGGGAGCUCGUGACUCGGUAAUGAUCCCUCCGCUGGUUCACCAACGGAGA